UGUCCCAUAGCUCAAUUGGCAGAGCGCGUGGCUGUUAACCACGAUGUUGUAGGUUCGAUUACUGGGGCAG
This 70-nucleotide transfer RNA is filed under the name Lyngbya aestuarii BL J. Its description in RNAcentral is "tRNA-Asn". It matches the Rfam family "tRNA". From Rfam's summary of the family: Transfer RNA (tRNA) molecules are approximately 80 nucleotides in length. Their secondary structure includes four short double-helical elements and three loops (D, anti-codon, and T loops). Further hydrogen bonds mediate the characteristic L-shaped molecular structure. tRNAs have two regions of fundamental functional importance: the anti-codon, which is responsible for specific mRNA codon recognition, and the 3' end, to which the tRNAs corresponding amino acid is attached (by aminoacyl-tRNA synthetases). tRNAs cope with the degeneracy of the genetic code in two manners: having more than one tRNA (with a specific anti-codon) for a particular amino acid; and 'wobble' base-pairing, i.e. permitting non-standard base-pairing at the 3rd anti-codon position. Lineage: Bacteria; Bacillati; Cyanobacteriota; Cyanophyceae; Oscillatoriales; Microcoleaceae. The record is from RNAcentral.